This 74-nucleotide transfer RNA is filed under the name Acidobacteriota bacterium. RNAcentral's name for it is "tRNA-Gln". It matches the Rfam family "tRNA". From Rfam's summary of the family: Transfer RNA (tRNA) molecules are approximately 80 nucleotides in length. Their secondary structure includes four short double-helical elements and three loops (D, anti-codon, and T loops). The record is from RNAcentral. Lineage: Bacteria; Pseudomonadati; Acidobacteriota.
UGCCGCCUCGUUCAACGGCAGGACGCGAGCCUUUGACGCUCGCUAUCGUGGUUCGAAUCCACGGGCGGCAGCCA